Molecule: ribosomal RNA, 159 nt
Filed under: Philodendron brevispathum
Lineage: Eukaryota; Viridiplantae; Streptophyta; Magnoliopsida; Alismatales; Araceae
Description: 5.8S ribosomal RNA
Rfam family: 5.8S ribosomal RNA
About the family: 5.8S ribosomal RNA (5.8S rRNA) is a component of the large subunit of the eukaryotic ribosome. It is transcribed by RNA polymerase I as part of the 45S precursor that also contains 18S and 28S rRNA.
Source: RNAcentral
ACGACUCCUGGCAACGGAUAUCUAGGCUCUUGCAUCGAUGAAGAACGUAGCGAAAUGCGAUACGUGGUGUGAAUUGCAGAAUCCCGCGAACCAUCGAAUCUUCGAACGCAAGUUGCGCCCGAGGCCAUGGCCGAGGGCACGCCUGCCUGGGCGUCGCGC